This 778-nucleotide ribosomal RNA is filed under the name Rhodococcus sp. (in: high G+C Gram-positive bacteria). RNAcentral's name for it is "bacterial SSU rRNA". It matches the Rfam family "Bacterial small subunit ribosomal RNA", at positions 56 to 850 of the family's 1533-position model. The record is from RNAcentral. Lineage: Bacteria; Bacillati; Actinomycetota; Actinomycetes; Mycobacteriales; Nocardiaceae.
UGCAAGUCGAGCGGUAAGGCCUUUCGGGGUACACGAGCGGCGAACGGGUGAGUAACACGUGGGUGAUCUGCCCUGCACUCUGGGAUAAGCUUGGGAAACUGGGUCUAAUACCGGAUAUGACCGCAUGCUGCAUGUGGUGUGGUGGAAAGAUUUAUCGGUGCAGGAUGGGCCCGCGGCCUAUCAGCUUGUUGGUGGGGUAAUGGCCUACCAAGGCGACGACGGGUAGCCGACCUGAGAGGGUGACCGGCCACACUGGGACUGAGACACGGCCCAGACUCCUACGGGAGGCAGCAGUGGGGAAUAUUGCACAAUGGGCGGAAGCCUGAUGCAGCGACGCCGCGUGAGGGAUGAAGGCCUUCGGGUUGUAAACCUCUUUCAGCAGGGACGAAGCGUGAGUGACGGUACCUGCAGAAGAAGCACCGGCUAACUACGUGCCAGCAGCCGCGGUAAUACGUAGGGUGCGAGCGUUGUCCGGAAUUACUGGGCGUAAAGAGUUCGUAGGCGGUUUGUCGCGUCGUUUGUGAAAACCCGGGGCUCAACUUCGGGCUUGCAGGCGAUACGGGCAGACUUGAGUGUUUCAGGGGAGACUGGAAUUCCUGGUGUAGCGGUGAAAUGCGCAGAUAUCAGGAGGAACACCGGUGGCGAAGGCGGGUCUCUGGGAAACAACUGACGCUGAGGAACGAAAGCGUGGGUAGCAAACAGGAUUAGAUACCCUGGUAGUCCACGCCGUAAACGGUGGGCGCUAGGUGUGGGUUCCUUCCACGGGAUCUGUGCCGUA